CCCAAGUAAGUCUCUCAGUAAUCCCAUAACUGUCUCACAGAGAUGUCACGAGACUUAAUAUAUUUUGGAGAAAGGCUUUGAUAGAUCCUUGGAUCAAAGGCACAAACCUCGACUGUCCAAGGGAUGGACCCUGACUGUCCCACGGAAUGAACCCUGACCACAAUGAGGAUGAUUCUGGAAUCCUGGACAGAACCAAGGAAGACUGAAGACACUGGACCACAGGAACAGGACGCGAUGAUCACCAGGGGUGCUGGAACAAUUUGUAUAAUGGAGGUGCUGAAAGCCAAUGAAGCAAACUGUAAACCUGUAUAUGACGGAAUCCAUUUCAAGACAGGAGGUGCUGCCAUACCCCUAGUUCGAGCACCUAUGCUCUGCUUUUCAGAACACACAUUGGGCACUUGCUAUUUGUGACAAACUGUUAUAUGUAGGUCUAUGGUUAUAAACUCUAUAGCGUUUCUUGAUGGAUUACAGCUCAUGAACAAUUCUUUUUCCAAAAUGUGUCUUUCCAUUUGAUUAGACUAAAGAUAACACAUCAAUGUACUGAAGUAUAUUUUCUCUUAAGAUAUCAUGCAAUUUUAAUUAAAUCUUUUUCAUUUCUUUUGACAUGUGAAAUAUGAGCUCUCUUGUGAAAAGCGUCUCUUGAUUACUGGGCACAGACUCUGACGGGGAAGAUAUAAUUCUCUCUGCAUACAGUAUAAAUCUCAUUUGUUUGGUUUUUUUUCUCCCAGCAUAACAGAUAUUCGUAACAUUACAUAGCUACCCUUUGCUGAUAUCAGUGGA
Molecule: long non-coding RNA, 780 nt
Organism: Chelonia mydas (Green sea turtle)
Lineage: Eukaryota; Metazoa; Chordata; Testudines; Cheloniidae
Exons: 3
Source: RefSeq, a predicted model, not a curated record